GCCGCCAUCUUCUCGCGCCUAACGUUUCGUAUGGUUUUGUUCUCUGCAAUCCGCGCACACAGCGCAUCGGUGGCUGCACGUCUGCUCGGCGUCGCAAUGCGGCCUGCGUCAUUUUCUGGUGCUCGCGCAAUCGGUGUGAAACAUGUCGCAUCUGAAAUGUUUGAUAGAAGUGCUUCACGUCCAAGUCAAGCCGCCGUACGGGUGCAUGACUGUGCGCCCCGUUCUCGGAAGCGUCGACGGGUUUCCGGCAUGCGGAUUUCAGCGUUUGGACUCGACUUUUCUUGAGGAUGUCGAUCGACCUUGGGCCUGGUGACAGCACACCCGACAUCGCCAAAGUUCAGCCUAUCAGUUGAGUGCCCCCGAAUGGACCAUCAACAUCGGAAAAUGAAGCAGAGCCAGGGGGAAAAGGUUCAGGUAACACUGCAUUAAGUAUGGUGGCCCAGACGUGUAUGCAAGCAACCUCCUUCAUGUGGACCAAGAACUACUCUGCAGUGUCUCACAGACUUCCAUGCGAAGCCCUCAACAUUCUCGUCUCAGUGGAAUGGCUGCUCAUCUAUCUGUGUGUCCAUCACCAAGAUGGCCAGUUGUAAAGCUCCUGUACCCGUUUAAGACAGCUUAAUGAUUUUUUUUAUUUAGUUUUCAUGGUUGGCCGUAGAAUCUUAACAUUUUUGAUGUUUCUAACGUUUUUACCUGGCCCAAAGUGGUGCAAUAACUUUAAACCAGUGUAAUGUAUUUAAGUGAUGCUCACUCUAAUGCCUAUCUGGUUUUGUUUGUGUUUAAGAAAUUUGAAUGUCUGAUGACGUAACAGCAUUUAAACUUGUCAUCGUGGCUCUUUUCAGUGAGCUGCUAGGAAAUAAGAUGCAAAACUUAUCACACGCCAGUUGUAGCAUUUUUGUUUUCAAGACUAAAGUAUACAUGUUUCAAACGAUGGAAAGUGGGGAAAAAAAGCCUCAAGAACAUAAUCAUCCUAGGAUUGUCAUGUCCUUACAACUCUGCAAUAACUAAUGCCUCAUACAUCUUGGGAGCACAUUGGUCGCAAUGCCUACAGGUAUACUUGAUAAGAGAAUAGCUUGCACUCAGAUUUGCCAAGCAGUUGAUGGCUGAUAGCUUUUGUUUGUCGUCUUCAUGUUACUACUAUGUAUUCAAUAUUCAUUUACAUGUGCUGCGGUUUUUUGCAG
This is a long non-coding RNA of Dermacentor albipictus, 1178 nucleotides long. RefSeq lists it as uncharacterized. The record is from RefSeq and is a predicted model, not a curated record. Lineage: Eukaryota; Metazoa; Arthropoda; Arachnida; Ixodida; Ixodidae.